This 266-nucleotide unclassified non-coding RNA is filed under the name Cadophora sp. RNAcentral describes it as "partial contains small subunit ribosomal RNA, internal transcribed spacer 1, and 5.8S ribosomal RNA". The stretch from base 1 to 46 matches the Rfam family "Eukaryotic small subunit ribosomal RNA", at positions 1786 to 1831 of the family's 1831-position model. The record is from RNAcentral. RNAcentral also lists the same sequence under 1 other name. Lineage: Eukaryota; Fungi; Ascomycota; Leotiomycetes; Helotiales; Ploettnerulaceae.
AAGUCGUAACAAGGUUUCCGUAGGUGAACCUGCGGAAGGAUCAUUAAUAAACCUAGUCGUUCGCGUACAUAGGGGCAACCCUCGCGUGAUGUCAGCAAUACCUAGGUAACCCUUGAAUAAACUACCCUUGUUGCUUUGGCGGGCCGCCGUCUCGGCCAGCGGCUUCGGCUGCUGCGCGCCCGCCAGAGGACCACAACUCUUGUUUUUAGUGAUGUCUGAGUACUAUAUAAUAGUUAAAACUUUCAACAACGGAUCUCUUGGUUCUG